RNAcentral lists this non-coding RNA (23 nucleotides) under Arabidopsis thaliana (thale cress). Lineage: Eukaryota; Viridiplantae; Streptophyta; Magnoliopsida; Brassicales; Brassicaceae. The record is from RNAcentral.
GUGUAGUGUUGUUGAAUGGUAUC